AGUGAACGCUGGCGGCAGGCCUAACACAUGCAAGUCGAGCGGCAGCGGGUCCUUCGGGAUGCCGGCGAGCGGCGGACGGGUGAGGAAUGCGUCGGAAUCUGCCUUUUUGUGGGGGAUAACGUAUGGAAACUUACGCUAAUACCGCAUACGACCUACGGGUGAAAGUGGGGGACCGCAAGGCCUCACGCAGAAAGAUGAGCCGACGUCGGAUUAGCUAGUUGGCGGGGUAAAGGCCCACCAAGGCGACGAUCCGUAGCUGGUCUGAGAGGAUGAUCAGCCACACUGGAACUGAGACACGGUCCAGACUCCUACGGGAGGCAGCAGUGGGGAAUAUUGGACAAUGGGCGCAAGCCUGAUCCAGCCAUGCCGCGUGUGUGAAGAAGGCCUUCGGGUUGUAAAGCACUUUUGUCCGGAAAGAAAUCCUGUCGGCUAAUACCCGGCGGGGAUGACGGUACCGGAAGAAUAAGCACCGGCUAACUUCGUG
RNAcentral lists this ribosomal RNA (484 nucleotides) under uncultured bacterium. RNAcentral describes it as "partial 16S ribosomal RNA". It matches the Rfam family "Bacterial small subunit ribosomal RNA", at positions 29 to 507 of the family's 1533-position model. The record is from RNAcentral.